Oxyura jamaicensis (ruddy duck) is the source of this 691-nucleotide long non-coding RNA. RefSeq lists it as uncharacterized. NCBI's taxonomy places the organism in Eukaryota, Metazoa, Chordata, Aves, Anseriformes, Anatidae. The record is from RefSeq and is a predicted model, not a curated record. The transcript has 2 exons.
AGGUUAUCCUUGUGACUCAAGGGACAGCCACGUUUGUUAAAAUGAGCUUUUAAAUUGAAGGAUGAGCUGACAGGCAUGGCCGUGCUGUUUUUAAAUCGAUGAUCAAGGUCUUGGUUUGUAACUAAUUGUGCCUCUUACAGGUUUUGUUUGUAAGCUGAAGAUCUUGGUGCAGCAUAAGCAAGCCUGUAAAGGGAAACGGGUUGGAAACUGCCCCAUCAACCGUGAGAAAUGCGAAAAGCAGGCGGCGGGCAGAGGGGGAGAGACGAGCCGGAUUCCUCACAUGCUUUCCCUCUGCCAUCACCGCCUCCAAGGUGCUGUUGGCCAUGGAAAGCUGCCGGGGAGCGGCGAACGAGAGCCAGCCACCAGCAAACGCUGUGGCAAAAUGGGACGGAGAGCUGAAGAGCUGGGUUUUUCCUUUGGUCGACCUGCGUUAAUGACAACCGUAUCCCAGCCGGAUUGCUGCAGCGUUGUCCUUUCCGGCAGACCACUCGGACGCAUUUCCUGCAUCUUCCUGGAUUCAAGGCAACCUAAAAAGCUAACGGCUCUUUCGUGAAGUGUGGUCUGGUUGAGGCAGAAGGAUGAAAAGCAGCCGGAAUCAUUCUGGGUUAAAAAUAAGUGGAGCAGUGCAAGCCCUGAAUGUCUCCAGCUUCGCGAUUUGGAGCAUGGCCAGGAUGUAAAAAAAACAACAAAA